GGCGCGGACGUGCACGCCAAGGACUCCCACGGCUGGACGCCGCUGAUGCGCGCCGGAUGGAGCCAAUAAAGGUGGAGUGGAUGCGACUUUGGCUGUGGCGACUGCUGCAUCGACGAUGCUCAAGAAGAGGGCAGCUCGACGGAAACAGGAGGAACUGGAUGAGCAAAUUUAAAGAAAACUUGGGAAAUAGUGAAAAAAAAUAUAAACAUUUGAGACUAGACUCUUUCAAAAUAUAUUUAAAAAAUAG
Thrips palmi is the source of this 247-nucleotide long non-coding RNA. RefSeq lists it as uncharacterized. The record is from RefSeq and is a predicted model, not a curated record. NCBI's taxonomy places the organism in Eukaryota, Metazoa, Arthropoda, Insecta, Thysanoptera, Thripidae. The transcript has 2 exons.